CUAACGCGUUAAGUCGACCGCCUGGGGAGUACGGCCGCAAGGUUAAAACUCAAAUGAAUUGACGGGGGCCCGCACAAGCGGUGGAGCAUGUGGUUUAAUUCGAUGCAACGCGAAGAACCUUACCUGGUCUUGACAUCCAGAGAAUCCUGCAGAGAUGCGGGAGUGCCUUCGGGAACUCUGAGACAGGUGCUGCAUGGCUGUCGUCAGCUCGUGUUGUGAAAUGUUGGGUUAAGUCCCGCAACGAGCGCAACCCUUAUCCUUUGUUGCCAGCGGUUCGGCCGG
Molecule: ribosomal RNA, 282 nt
Filed under: Cronobacter sakazakii 696
Lineage: Bacteria; Pseudomonadati; Pseudomonadota; Gammaproteobacteria; Enterobacterales; Enterobacteriaceae
Description: Small Subunit Ribosomal RNA; ssuRNA; SSU rRNA
Rfam family: Bacterial small subunit ribosomal RNA
Source: RNAcentral